Molecule: long non-coding RNA, 1234 nt
Filed under: Felis catus (domestic cat)
Lineage: Eukaryota; Metazoa; Chordata; Mammalia; Carnivora; Felidae
Description: lncRNA (ENSFCAG00000049124.1)
Source: RNAcentral
GCCAACGCCACUGAGGCUCACUGUUUGCGUUCUAAAUGAGACCGUUCAAAAAUUCAUUUAAAGGAGAAGAACCACAUUUACCCCAGGUAGAAGUCCUGUUGGAAGGUAUUUGUAAAAUGCAGAGCCACCUCUAUGGGGACACCCUCAGCUGGACUUCAUGUCUCACGGACACUGGUCAGCAACACAGAGCAGAACUCUGACCCCACGCAGCUGAUGGAAUAUUCUCCCUACCUCCUCCCCAAGGCCAUCUUUUCUCGAGGCGUCGGAAGACAUCCUAUCACCCCCCACCCCAGACUGGGGAGGCAGCGGGAUGGCAGGCCCCGUCUGUGAGGCACCCGGGCCUGGAAUCGGGAGCAGAGAGACCCCUGGGCACCCCGUGAGACAACAGCAAGACCAGAAGGGACUCCGCGUCCUGCCUCAAAGGCACGCCAGGCCAGCCGGCCCAGGGUCCGAAAUCUCUUCUAAAACGAAAACAAAAGGAGGGAAGAACACGGGACUUCAGGGCGGUGAAGCGGGCCUGUGUGAUGCCGUGACGGUGGACGUGCAGCGUCACGCCCUCAUCCGGACCCACAGAACGAGCAGCACCGAGCGAGCCCCACUGUCAGCCGUGGGCUCUGGGUGCCGAGGGCGCGUCAGUGCGGGCUCAAGUACCAUAGCAGGUGCACCUCUCUGGUGGGGAGGCUGACAGCAGGGGAGGCAGUGCGGGGGGCCCGGGGUGGGGGGUUAUAUGGGAGCCCUCCAAACCUCCCCCUCAAUUUUGCUGUGAACCUAGAACUGCCUGAAAAUUUUGUCUAUGUUUUAAGAAACUGAAACAAAAUGAAUACAUAGAGGCACAGGCAGGUGAUCCGUUCUGGCCAAGGAGACACAGAGACCUACUGGGGGCUUCGGGGAGAACACCUGUCCUCGAAGGGGAGCUCCUCUCGGAAUAUUGUGGUCUGCAUCUGAUGCUAACAGCGGCCGCUGUCUCAGCACCGUCGGCGGGGCAUCCUAACGUAAAACACAAGCCAACCGCAGGGUUGGGGAGCAGACAGGGGUGAACCUGGUCCUGUGGACGCUGCUGAGCCACAGAAGUGACCCGCUUCCUGCAAAACUGGGUUCUGGAAGAUCGUGUUUCCUGCUUGUGAGAGUGGUAAGUUUUUCCUAUGAAGCUGGUGCUGGCUGGGUUUUUCCUGUUGACGUAUCACCUCUUUUGGCACUGAAUAAAUCCGGCGAGUGUGCAGGUCUUUGGGGAUCU